GCUGGGCACGGUGGCGGGUGCCUGUAAUCCCAGCUACUCAGGAGGCUGAGGUAGGAGAAUCGCUUGAGCCUGGGAGAUGGAGGUUGUAGUGAGCUGAGAUUGUGCCACUGUACUCCAGCCAGGGUGACAGAGCGAGACCCUAUCUCAA
Molecule: small RNA, 148 nt
Filed under: Pongo abelii (Sumatran orangutan)
Lineage: Eukaryota; Metazoa; Chordata; Mammalia; Primates; Hominidae
Description: Metazoan signal recognition particle RNA (ENSPPYG00000031550.1)
Source: Rfam by way of RNAcentral